CUACGGGCCGCACCAGUGGGGAAUAUUGCACAAUGGAGGAAACUCUGAUGCAGCAACGCCGCGUGGGGGAUGACACUUUUCGGAGCGUAAACUCCUUUUAUAUAGGAAGAAGAUGACGGUACUAUAUGAAUAAGCGCCGGCUAACUCCGUGCCAGCAGCCGCGGUAAUGCGGAGGGCGCAAGCGUUACUCGGAAUCACUGGGCGUAAAGAGCGUGUAGGCGGAUUAAAAAGUCAGAAGUGAAAUCCUAUAGCUUAACUAUAGAACUGCUUCUGAAACUCUUAAUCUAGAAUAUGGGAGAGGUAGAUGGAAUUUCUGGUGUAGGGGUAAAAUCCGUAGAGAUCAGAAGGAAUACCGAUUGCGAAGGCGAUCUACUAGAACAUUAUUGACGCUGAGACGCGAAAGCGUGGGGAGCAAACAGGAUUAGAUACCCUGGUAGUC
Molecule: ribosomal RNA, 439 nt
Filed under: uncultured bacterium
Lineage: Bacteria
Description: partial 16S ribosomal RNA
Rfam family: Bacterial small subunit ribosomal RNA
Source: RNAcentral